Molecule: ribosomal RNA, 793 nt
Filed under: uncultured bacterium
Lineage: Bacteria
Description: bacterial SSU rRNA
Rfam family: Bacterial small subunit ribosomal RNA
Source: RNAcentral
AGAGUUUGAUCAUGGCUCAGAUUGAACGCUGGCGGCACGCCUAACACAUGCAAGUCGAGCGGAUGAAGAGAGCUUGCUCUCUGAUUCAGCGGCGGACGGGUGAGUAAUGCCUAGGAAUCUGCCUGAUAGUGGGGGACAACGUUUCGAAAGGAACGCUUAUACCGCAUACGUCCUACGGGAGAAAGCAGGGGACCUUCUGGCCUUGCGCUAUCAGAUGAGCCUAGGUCGGAUUAGCUAGUUGGUGAGGUAAUGGCUCACCAAGGUGACUAUCCGUAACUGGUCUGACAGGAUGAUCAGUCACACUGGAACUGAGACACGGUCCAGACUCCUACGGGAGGCAGCAGUGGGGAAUAUUGGACAAUGGGCGAAAGCCUGAUCCAGCCAUGCCGCGUGUGUGAAGAAGGUCUUCGGAUUGUAAACCACUUUAAGUUGGGAGGAAGGGCAUUAACCUAAUACGUUAGUGUUUUGACGUUACCGACAGAAUAAGCACCGGCUAACUUCGUGCCAGCAGCCGGCGUAAUACGAACGGUGCAAGCGUUCAUCGGAAUUACUGGGCGUAAACCUCGCGUCGGUGGUUUGUUAACUUGGAUGUGAAAUCCCCGGGCUCAACCUGGGAACUGCAUCCAAAACUGGCAAGCUAGAGUAUGGCAGAGGGUGGUGGAAUUUCCUGUGUAGCGGUGAAAUGCGUAGAUAUAGGAAGGAACACCAGUGGCGAAGGCGACCACCUGGGCUAAUACUGACACUGAGGUGCGAAAGCGUGGGGAGCAAACAGGAUUAGAUACCCUGGUAGUCC